This 1143-nucleotide long non-coding RNA is filed under the name Cyanistes caeruleus (blue tit). RNAcentral's name for it is "lncRNA (ENSCCEG00000009381.1)". The record is from RNAcentral. Lineage: Eukaryota; Metazoa; Chordata; Aves; Passeriformes; Paridae.
AAAAGAAGUAGUAGCAGCAUCAACAGAGACCUCAGGGUGAGGAGCUCCUCCCAGUGUGGUAAGCAGCUGGAUUACACGGUUCUAUUUCAAGCAAUGUUGGCUGCUAGGACAUCUUCCAUGUAAAUUGCAUGGCUCCAGGUGUGACAUCAGUGUUUUUGUUUAAAGAAACCUGUCUGAAAUGGAAUUAAGAAAAGAUCUCAAGGACAUGGUAGUAAAGUUAAAGCCCUGCCCCACGGCCAGUAUAUUUCAUGUUGCAUGGUCUUUUUUGAAGGCUCUGGAUGAUGACUCAGAACAUAUUUGCUAAAUAUCUAUCUACAAGAGGCUUCCCAUUGAUCCCUGUGCCAGUCACUAAGGGUAAAACUGUCCACUUCUGCUGUCCAAGGAAAAGGAGCUCGCACAUUCUGGUAUGGAAAUAGCAGAGAUUCUCAAAUUUUGAGCUCAAGUAACAUCUCCCAGGCAUCUCCAUCCUGGCUACCUGGCUACCAUGCAGCGGCCUUGAAGCCUGUGCAAAGGAAACACAGGCUAUUUGAAUUAACUAUCCUCCACUCUGGAUGAACAAAGGCAGCAUUCAUGAUCCUUCAUUUCAUGGAAGAAAAUACAUCACCUUUUUGAUCAGAAAGACUGGACACUGUUCUGAAGAAAACAUUUUCUAGGACCUUUGCCACUGUUUUCCUGGUGACAACAGUCUGAGCCUCUUUCCUCAGGUGAUGCAAAGAUGAUUUGUGAUGAUGAAUCCCUCCGUGAAGGCAUUAAGACUUUCUGCAUCUGCAGGAAUGAGGAAUGUUAGUUUAUGUGUAUGGCUGGAAAUUACAGUAUUACAAAUUGUCUAGGAGUUCAUAUUUAUUAAACAAGACAAUAACAAACCAAAUAUGCAAUUUUGUGACAAUGCUGUCACACUGCAAAUCACAGUGGAGCUUCUUAACAGCAAAAAACACAGCAAUUGCUGUAUCCCUUCUUAAGCCAGCAAUCCUAAAAUGCACAAGGUCUGGACAUGUCACUCAGAAGUUCUCAUGCAGCUGCACAAAUGAGGAGAAAUACAGAAGACUAAUGAGAAAACAAAUCUGCUCUACACUGCCAUAUACUACAGAAACCGAGAGUUAUGAUGCCUUACACAGCAGUUUUUCCUUGAGAAUAAAUCCUUGA